RNAcentral lists this ribosomal RNA (253 nucleotides) under uncultured bacterium. Its description in RNAcentral is "partial 16S ribosomal RNA". It matches the Rfam family "Bacterial small subunit ribosomal RNA", at positions 524 to 776 of the family's 1533-position model. The record is from RNAcentral.
UACGUAGGUGGCAAGCGUUGUCCAGAAUUAUUGGGCAUAAAGCGCGCGCAGGCGGUCCUUUAAGUCUGAUGUGAAAGCCCACGGCUCAACCGUGGAGGGUCAUUGGAAACUGGGGGACUUGAGUACAGAAGAGGAAAGCGGAAUUCCACGUGUAGCGGUGAAAUGCGUAGAGAUGUGGAGGAACACCAGUGGCGAAGGCGGCUUUCUGGUCUGUAACUGACGCUGAGGCGCGAAAGCGUGGGGAGCAAACAGG